This 2341-nucleotide ribosomal RNA is filed under the name Corynebacterium sp. CCUG 65737. Its description in RNAcentral is "partial 23S ribosomal RNA". It matches the Rfam family "Bacterial large subunit ribosomal RNA", at positions 1 to 2177 of the family's 2925-position model. The record is from RNAcentral. Lineage: Bacteria; Bacillati; Actinomycetota; Actinomycetes; Mycobacteriales; Corynebacteriaceae.
UGUUUGUUGCUUAAGGGCGCAUGGUGGAUGCCUUGGCAUGCUGGGCCGAUGAAGGACGUGUGAGGCUGCGUUAUGCCUCGGGGAGUUGUCAACAAAGCGUUGAUCCGAGGAUGUCCGAAUGGGGAAACCCGGCCACGGUUGUGUGUGGUCACCGUAUGAUGAAUUCAUAGUUGUGCGGGGGUGAUACCGGGAAGUGAAACAUCUCAGUACCGGUGGGAGAGGAAAAUAAUAAUGAUUCUGUUAGUAGCGGCGAGCGAACGCGGAUGAGGCUAAACCGUGUGCGUGUGAUACCUGGCAGGGGUUGCGUGUGCGGUGUUGUGGGGUGCGAUGGUCAACGGUCUGCCAGUCGUUGCAUUUCUAGUGCGUGUUAGCGGAAGUGGCCUGGGAUGGUCUGCCGGAGUAGGUGAGAGUCCUGUACGUGAAGGCGUGUGCUGGUUGUGUGUCGUGUUUGCCCCGAGUAGCAGCGGGCUCGUGGAAUCUGCUGUGAAUCUGCCGGGACCACCCGGUAAGCCUAAAUACCUAGUGUGACCGAUAGUGGAUAGUACCGUGAGGGAAUGGUGAAAAGUACCCCGGGAGGGGAGUGAAAGAGUUCCUGAAACUGUGCGCUUACAAUCCGUCAGAGCACCUUCUGUGUGUGUGAUGGCGUGCCUUUUGAAGAAUGAGCCUGCGAGUCAGCGGCAUGUCGCGAGGUUAACCCGUUUGGGGUAGUCGUAGCGAAAGCGAAUGCUAAUUGUGUGUUUUAAGUGGCAUGUCCUGGACCCGAAGCGGGGUGAUCUACCCAUGGCCAGUGUGAAGCAGCUGUAAGAGGUUGUGGAGGCGCGAACCCACGUAGGUUGAAAACUGCGGGGAUGAGUUGUGGGUAGGGGUGAAAGGCCAAUCAAACUCCGUGAUAGCUGGUUCUCCCCGAAAUGCAUUUAGGUGCAGCGUCGCGUAGGUGUGCCGGAGGUAGAGCUACUGGUUGGUUGAGCGGGACUAUCAUCUUAGCAAUGUCAGCCAAACUCCGAAUGCCGGUCCUACAUUGGUGCGCGGCAGUGAGACUGUGGGGGAUAAGCUUCAUAGUCGAGAGGGAAACAGCCCAGAUCGCCGGUUAAGGCCCCUAAGGGUGUACUAAGUGGAAAAGGAUGUGUAAUCGCGAAGACAGCCAGGAGGUUGGCUUAGAAGCAGCCACCCUUGAAAGAGUGCGUAAUAGCUCACUGGUCGAGUGGUUGCGCGCCGACAAUUCAGUGGGGCUCAAGUACACCGCCGAAGCCGCGGCAUAUUUUUUAUAUGGGUAGGGGAGCGUCGUGCAUGGGGUGAAGCGUUACCGGAAGGGGGCGUGGACUGUGUGCGAGUGAGAAUGCAGGCAUGAGUAACGAAUGAUGCGUGAGAAUCGUAUCCGCCGGAUGACUAAGGGUUCCUGGGUCAAGUUCGUCUUCCCAGGGUGAGUCGGGUCCUAAGGCGAGGCCGACAGGCGUAGUCGAUGGUCAACGGGUUGAUAUUCCCGUACCCGUGCAUACGCGCCCAAGUGCGAAGCGGUGAUACUAACCACCCUGACCACCCGCCACGGCAGUCUUUGACUGUUGGGUGGGUGUGAUGCGUGGGGCCUGAUCCGUUGUAGUUCAGUGAUGGGGUGACGCAGUCAGGUAGCUACGCCACUUAAGUGGAUUGUGGUGCAAGCGUGUGGCACAUGGACUAGUCAAAUGCGGUCCUGUUUGUGUGAGGCGUGAUGCGUAGCCCGUAUGUGGGUGAUGGUGGUGAUCCUAUGCUGUCGAGAAAAGCCUCUAGCGAUGUGUGUGUACGGCCCGUACCCGAAACCGACACAGGUAGUCAGGUAGAAAAUACUCAGGCGGUCGGGUGAACUGUGGUUAAGGAACUCGGCAAAUUGCCCCCGUAACUUCGGGAGAAGGGGGGCCAUGACUGGUGAGCGCAACAUGCGUGUGUGAGCUGGUUGUGGUCGCAGAGAAGAGAGGGAAGCGACUGUUUAUCAAAAACACAGGUCCGUGCGAAGACGGUCAAGUUGAUGUAUACGGACUGACGCCUGCCCGGUGCUGGAAGGUUAAGAGGACCUGUUAGACCCUUUGUGGUCGAAGCGGAGAAUUUAAGCCCCAGUAAACGGCGGUGGUAACUAUAACCAUCCUAAGGUAGCGAAAUUCCUUGUCGGGUAAGUUCCGACCUGCACGAAUGGCGUAACGACUUCCCUGCUGUCUCAACCACAGGCCCGGUGAAAUUGCACUACGAGUAAAGAUGCUCGUUACGCGCGGCAGGACGAAAAGACCCCGGGACCUUCACUAUAGCUUGGUAUUGGUGUUUACUGCGGUUUGUGUAGCAUAGGUGGGAGACUUAGAAGCGUUCACGCUAGUGG